This 5480-nucleotide long non-coding RNA is filed under the name Olea europaea subsp. europaea. Lineage: Eukaryota; Viridiplantae; Streptophyta; Magnoliopsida; Lamiales; Oleaceae. The record is from RNAcentral.
AAGUUAUUUAUUUAUUCCCCAAACUAUUUAUUUAGAUAGCAAAUGAAUGCGUCCCUAAUCAAUUUUUUUGGCAUUCAAGUAGAACACCGUUAAACGUAAAAGACGAUUCGACUCAACUCUACUAGACUACGACCACCAUGGCAAGCUUAAUCUCUUUCAGCCGUUCAACCAACCUUUUCUACUACCCCAAAACUCCGUUUCAGGUAACUACUGUAAACAAAAUCCUCUUAACUUUCUUCUUUUCUUAAAUACCCUUUUGGUUUGGUAUUUUCCAAAAGGGUGUUGUUAGGUUUAGUAUUUUCGCUUGGGUGUUGUUCUGUAGUAUCUCUGUAUAUUUGUGGGUUUUUUAAACGGAUUAAGAACUAUUUUAUUAUAUGACACAGCAAUGCAAUGGAGGUUUGGUUAUUUUGAAUAUUUUCGAACAAAAUCAGAUUUUUAGCUUAAUUGACUUCAACCUUAAAAGUUUUGGACAAAAAAAGGGAUGGAUAUAUUAAGUAGAAUGGCAUUCCAUCACUCAUUGAACUACCUCUUCUUGUCGUUGUUAAUGUUAGCUCUUACAUUUUUCCCUACUGUUGAGGUUGAGGAAUUGAACGUGGAUGCUAAUUAUGUAUUUAGUUAAUAUUUUUAUAAGAGAUAAGAUGCAAUGUUGCAAUUAAUCAUUUAUGGGGAGAGUUAACAAGGCUUUGGUGCUAUUUUCUUUAUCAGAAAUAACUUAAGUAAAAAUGCUGAUAGGCAGCCCUUUUUUUUUUUUUUUUUUUUAUAUGAUAAGGCAAGUGUAUUAUUUUUAACUUGUGAAAGUAGAGUACAAAAUCACGAGGUCAUACCCUAGAAAACUAGGCUAGGAAUAUAUGUCAUCCCAGCACCAAUAAGUAAUCAAGAUUAGUGCUUAAUCCUAACCAUGUCAAUAAAAAAUAUUCGUAGAAAAACCCCAUGAGCGUUGGAACCAUCUAUUUUCGUUAGAUGGAACCAAGCCCCUACAUAAAUUUACUAGUGCACAAAUAGAAAAAACUAUGCCUCGAAUAACAACAUACUCAUGUUUAGGAGCCUCGCCAUGGGGUCCUAGUAUUACGUUCGUGCCAAAUAGCAUAAAUUGAAGCCGCAAACAUCAUACGAAUAGCAAUAGAUUGCAUAGACCUCCCAUGAAACUUCUCCAUCCAAGAAAGAGUAUCUGUCCAACUCCACUGAACCCAAGGUAGGUUACAUUUUGCACGCAAAGGAUGCCAAACACGCUCAGAAUAUGGGCAAGUAAAGAAAAGAUGAUCCAAAUCCUUCUCUGAAUAGCGACACAACACACAACGCAUAGACGGUAUCAAACCAAAGUGAAGAAGUUUGGUCUGUGUAUAGAGGCCACCUUGAAUUGCUAGCCAAAGGAUAAAUGGAUAACGAGGAAUACAUUUAGGGAACUAGAUAAUGUGAUACCAGGUCACCCUAGGGCAGUGAACUCGAAGAGACUCCCAAGCACUCUGAACAGAGAAGACUCCAUGCAUAUCAUUCACCCAUCGCAAGACAUCCUCUCUAGUACUAUUUGGUCGAAAAGUAUCAAGCGCAUCUCGCAUGAAGUUAGACAACACUGAGGAACGAGCUGAUGGCCAACUCCAAGUAUCACCCUCAAUAAUGUCAACCUUGUCUGCUCAAUCUAGAUUCAUGAAUGAUCCUUUCACCAAGAAUCUUCUCUAAAGGGCCAAGAGGAUGCCAAUUAUCAAACCUAAGCGAAGCACGUCUACCAUUACCAAUUUUGAAUUUCAUUUUGUCCCUCUCCAUAUCCCGAAGUCCAAGAAUCUUCCUCCAACUCCAAGAGCAAUCUCCAUGACAUUUCAAUUCCCAAAUGCUCCUGCCUCUAAGUAAGUAGCAUUGUGCCCAUGAAACCCACGGAGAGGAGGCUGAAUUCGUACAAAGGGACCAAAGGUGCUUUUAUUCCAAAUCUCCAUGCUCCGUAGACCCAAACCACCCUCAUCCUUAGGCAUACAGAUUUUUGCCCAUGCCACUUUAGUCCUAUCGGUGCUGAGGGCACAACCCUUCCACAAGAAGGCUCGUAGAGUAUCUUCCAUUGUUUGAUCACAGCUUUUGGUAAAAUAAAUAUAGAAGACCAAUAUACUUGAAUAGAAAUAGUACAUACUUAAUAAGCUGUAACAACUCUUCGCUCUAGUUAUAAUUCGAUCCACCAACACCUUACAAUCCAAAACUCGCAAAUUAGUAGAGAUGAGUGGGACACCAAGAUAAUGUACCAAUAACACGCCCUCCUUAUACCCAAAAAUAUCAAGCAACUGAUCCUUAAGAUAUGAAGAAAUACCGCUAGCAAAUAGAUUACUCUUAUCUGGAUUAGGAAUAAGUCCAGAUAGAGCUUUAAAUCGAUUAAGGCAAUCCUUAAUGAGAGAUACGAAACCAACCUCAACUCUACAAAAAAACCAUAAGAUCAUCAGCAAAACACAAGUCGGUGAUCUUUUCCUUCUCACAUCUCCAAUGGUAUUUGAAAUCCUGCUCAGCAACCAUCAAACCCAUUAAUCCCGAAAAGACCUCCAUUGCCAAGACAAACAAAUAAUGCGACAAAGGAUCUCCUCGUCUCAAACCUCUCCCACCAGCAAAGAAACUAUGCAACUCGCCAUUAAUUGAAAUUGAAAAUUGAGUGGAAGUGAUACACUCAGUUAUCCACUCAACAACCCCCUCCGGAAAACCAAGCACCCUUAGAACCGCAAGGAGUAAAUCCCAGCGAACAGAAUCAUAAGCUUUCAUGAGAUCAACUUUAAGAGCACAUCUAGGCACCAUUCAAAUUCUUUCAUCUUAGUGGGAUUAUUGAGCAUGGCUGCUGGAACAGUUUUUCUCUAUCUGAUUCUUCAUAAAUCGAUGUAAUUUGCAUUCUCAACACGAACUUAGUUGCGUGUAGGAAAUGAUGUUGGCAUGUGGCUACUUUUCCAACCCUCUAGGAAUGUGGAUGACUUCUGCAUUUCUUUAGUUUCAUUUUUCUCAUCUCAUCUCCAUUGCACUAUUAUUUUUUCCAAUCCUAUCUUUUUCUUUUUCUUUUUUUUUUUCUUUCUUUUUUUCCUUCUAAUGAAAAGAAAAUUUUAAAAAUGCACUGAGCAUCCUAGUAGUAUCUUAUUGCUAUUACAAAUAACAUGGUUGUGUUCGUGUUUAAGUUAAGAUACUUGUUUGACCAAAUUGCAUUGAAAAAUUAGACAAUCAAAUGUUUGAUACUUGGAUUUACACAUGUACCUGAGUCUGAGAAUUAGUCUUCUGUCAAUAUUUUGGUGCAGAUUUUCUGAAGCAAACUCAAAUAGAUAUUCAACAGCUUUAUCUAAUUUGGAAUAAAUGUUUAAGUUUAUUAUUCUACUCAAUUUUUUAAAUGUUAUUCUAGGUUAGAAACAGAAAUGCAACGAAAUAUACAGACUGUUUCUAGUCUUGCUACCUUGUGUCGUGGAUAUUAGAAUGGUAACAUGGGUGUGUUAUUAGUAUUUCUUGGUUUCUUUUCUUAUUGUCAUCUCCUGGUCGCAUUAAUGUGAAAUGGCAAAUUUAUGUUUGUCAAAGAAAAAAAUGGAAACAAAAAUAAUAUGCAUUUACCAGCAUCUCAUUCAAUUACUUUAUGCAUUUGAAUUUGUAAGUUCCAUCUGUUACAAACUAUAUAAUUGCAUAGUUAGGUUACUGUCAUUGGUUUGAUAGUUUUCUCGGCAAGUUUCAUCUACAGAUGCAGAAUACAUUUUUUAUGGUCACUGUAGAUGUGAUUUGUAACUAAUUGACUAUUUAUACUUGAUGUAUUCCCCAUCCUUUUAAAACUACUUACUUCUACAAACAUUCUUGUUCGACCACACACUUGUGCCAAAGAGAGUGAAUUAUCAUUUGAUGAUGUUGGUCAUCUUUUAUACUCACUGUUAUAUGGGAUUGCUGUAGGGAACAAACAUUAGGAGAUUGACAAGUGAAAGGUUUAUGUGCCCAUUAUCCAGAAGAACAGGUUCUUUCUUCAGUCUCUUGCUGGGUCCUACUAUGCACAAAAGAAGUUUCUUGAUUAUAUUAUAACCUGGAAUAAGCAUAAUGUCAUUUUUCAAAUCACGAGGGCUUCAGGCCAGAACAUUCAGAUUUGGACAGUACAUGAAGCAUUAAUAACAAAACUUCUAAAAUUAUUCAGCCAGAUUUCUGUGAGCUGAGAAUAUAAAAGGAAAUGUACGUCCUUAUUAUGUUCACGCUAAAGGAAAAGGAGAAAAAAAAAGUAGCAUCAAUAUUUUCUUUAACAAAUUAUAUUAUCUUCUAGCUAAGAGAUUACCGGAAACCAAAUGGAAGCUAAAUUGAUGAGUUAGUCGAGGCAUUUCUUCUAUAUGCUAGGGGUUUGCUUUUCUGCCUCACAUUAUGACUCACCAUUUACUUGUGGAACAGUUAGUAGUUAUUAUCAGGAUUUUAUUAUUUAGUUCAUAAGUUCUUCAAUUAAUAAGCGGGACAUUUUGGCAUGUUAUUUCUUUCUAUCAGCAAAGAUGUUAGGAAUUAGGAUUUGCUUUUUGAAUGAAUGGAACAAGAUCCAUCUAGCAAAGGGUAUAUGAUGUUAUGUCAAGACUAAUAUGGUUACCACUACUCUUCUAUUUUUAUUCAUCUUCCUCAGAGACGUCUUUCUCCUCUAGAUUUUACAAGAAAAAGAAUUGUACUAAUUGCAUAUAUAAUAUAUUCUCCUCAAAAGUUCUUGACAAUGAUAUACAGAAUGUAAUGAUGUGUUCCCUAAUCGGCUAAUCCAAUACGUUUAAUUUCUAAAUCACUUGAUGUUUAUUAAGAAAACAGUAACGAUUUUUGUACAUGUCAAAUCAAGGAAAUUGUUUUUCCCUCCUUUGCCAUAUACGUGUGUUUAAACAUGGACGUUCUGUUCUUUAAAAUGUUUCAGAGUGAAGUUGCAUGAUGAUAUACAGAAACCUUUUCCAUUUCCCUUGUAGGCAUGAAAACACCGAAGAUUUGUUAGUUGAAAAAUAAAUAAAUAAAUUGGCACAAUCUAGAGAACUGCGAUGCCAACUAAAUAACCUUAAAAAUGAUUGGAAGUGAACUCGCUCUGUAUCAAAAUUUUGUUUGGGUCUACAAAGUAGACUAACUCUAAAUGAUAUGUCAUGAAAUUAAUGUUAUAGCUUUGUGAUGCUCGAGUAAUCCUGUUUCUAGUACGUAUUAAUGGUUGACAACUUGAGUUUUUUUUUGCAGCAAGGAAGCUCAUCUUGUCAAACCAUUCUGGAGGAGACAUACUUUCUUCGAAUAAGAGCUGCUAUCUGGACAUCUUUGCUCCAACAAGACAAUUUUGCAAACCUCUUAUUUGCCAAUUUUUUGUAAGUUCUAACGCUCAUGUGCUAAUUUCUGGAUUCUGGAUGGGACCGGAUGUAGAAGAUGGAUGGGGUUUUGUAGAAGCAAUUGUGCAUCAAAUGUAUUAAUUCUUAUAAUUGAUCAUUUUACUUGCUUUUUUUCCUCCUGGUCUUAUUACAUGGUUAUGCAAAGAGUGGUUUGAUUUAUCUUGAAAUAUCUGAUAUCUU